GACCAUUCUCUACCACUUGUUGUUCGUUCUUAUGAUAGGUUGCAACAUAAUGCAUAUUUAUCUUACAGUUUUCUGAUUUCAGAUCCAAAUUUUUCUGUUGAACCUAUGUAAUGCCCCUUUAUGUCUAUAUGGAUGAAGAGUAAGAGGACUGACUUUUAAAUUAACAGUUUGUUACUUUAACAAUUUUUGCAUAUAACAGUUAAAAAACUAAAAAAAAUUCUUAUGUCAUUAUCAUUCUUUUGGGCUUUGUUAUUUUAUAAAUUUAACAGCUUGGCGGUUGAAGUUGAUGAUUACUGACAAGUUAGUAUAAUUUGUUGGAUUAUUUGAUACGUUUGAUAAAAGUUUCUUUUAAGGCUUUAAUGGAUGUUGUCUUUAUUUGCAGUGUUGAAUCUUGAUCUGGUUUGAAAGUUGUCAUGGAAGGUCUAGAACCUAGGUAAACACGAAUAGUUUAUUUUGUAAAAAAUUAAAUAUUUUUAUCAGUUUUUGGAACAAGAGUUAAGACAAACGGUUGUAUGUUGAUAAGGGGCAUAAUUUUUAGAAAAGGGCAUACUGGUCCUUUUUUGGUUAGUAUUACUAUUAAAAAUGGCAAGUUUGGUCUUAUGCCGCUGGAGUGGUUUCGUUGGAAAAAGAUAGGAAAAAGGAGAAAAAAUGAGAGGACUAUUAAGGGUGGUUGUAUGUUCUGGUGUAGAAAUAUGAAUAAAGGGAAAUUGGUCACUUUUUGGUUUAUGUUGCAAGUUAUAAGUUUGAUCAUAUGUUUUUAUGGUUCUGGGUUGGUUUCGCUGGAAAAAGAAAGACAGUAGAAGAAGGAAUAAUGAAUGAAGGGAAAAUUAAAGGGCACUUUCGUCUUUACCUGUUAAUCUUGUACUAUUUUCAAUGUCAUGUGGAGAAAAAUUACUUAUUUUGUUCGAAUUAGUAUAAGUAAGAGAAUUGAAGGGUAUCAGCUGUCUUUUUUUAUUAUAAAUUCAAUAAUGAAAGAACUUUGGAUGAAGGUUAUAAUUUAUGUAGUCCAAAUAAAGGCUUUAUGUUGGGACUCAUGCGUUAUACAUAGGGUAAUACAUAAAAGAAAGAUUAAAUUUGAUGUUUUCUAAGUGGAGUUGUACUUUAUACAUGUUUGAUUUAACUAAGUGGAGUUGUACUUUAUACAUGUUUGAUUUAACUGCUAUUUGCAAAAGGAGGAAAUUAGAUUGGAAAUAUAAAAUUAGAUGGUUUUUUAUGAUCUGUACUAAUCAAAUGAUUGGUACCAUGUGCUUACAGGCUUUUAAUAAGAGUUGGUUUUGGAGAGUAACAAAAACAAUGGAAGGUUGAAAGCCUCUUUUCAUUUGUUAAACAAAGUUGCAGUGAUGUUUUUGGAAAUGGCAAAAUCAAUGUUUACUAUGGCAAGAAGCUUCUGUUGAAUCAACGUGAUCAUCUUCAGAAUUUUAAUAAAAAAAGAAUCGACGUCUUUUAUGCGGUUCAAAUUAUAGAUUUUUAGUUUGUUGGUUUUAUCUUUUUUUUUCCGUCAAAAAAUAUACAAUAAAAUGCAAA
Molecule: long non-coding RNA, 1524 nt
Filed under: Lactuca sativa (garden lettuce)
Lineage: Eukaryota; Viridiplantae; Streptophyta; Magnoliopsida; Asterales; Asteraceae
Description: long non-coding RNA (LSAT_LNC002846)
Source: RNAcentral